UUAGAUGCAACUUUUGUUAAUGCAAGAAACAAGAACUUGAUAUGUAUUUUAAGUGAGUAGCAAAUGAUUUUGUUCAUAAUUAUAUGUAUAUUAUCUAAUUUUGAGCAAUAAUCAUUAAUAUAAAUAUUUUGAAUAAAAUGAGAAAAAAAUAGAAAUAUAGAGUUAAAUAUACUUGUGUUUGGUUAUCUUCGGAUAUCCAUUCGGGUUCGGAUAUUACCCAUUCGGAUUCAGAUAUUACCUUAACUGGUGAAAUAAAUAAUUUGUUUUAUUGUUCUAAUUAGAUAAUUUUUAGACCGAGCUAUGUGAAUAUAUACUAGACAAACAUUUAUAUUUUGAGUAUACACUUAUAUUCUAUAAGUACUUGAUAUAUUAGAUUUAAACACUAACCUGUUAAUAUAGUUUACCGGUAAUUUUUUUUAAAUUUUGAUUCUUAGAUAUGUAUAUGGAGUGAAACUAAUUUUUACAAUGUCUAGUCUAUUUUUUUAAUCGACACCUAUGUAAUUCACUAAAUUCAUAAAAGAAGUUAAAAAAAAAAAACUUAACUCAUAUCAAUGAAACAAAGACGAGUACAAAGCACAAUUCUAUAGGUGUAGAAAAUAAAAUCACUUAAGGAGAGUCCAUAAUAAACAAAUCGAGAGCAGAAAACCUAAUCCCCUUUCGUCUUUAUACAAUCGAUGUUGCCUAUUUGGUUUUGGUGAUUUAUGUCAGCCGUAAAAAAUAAUUUCCUUUUGUGCAUAUGAAGUCUUAAAAAUAAUUAAAAUGUGAUGUACUAUGUUAACUUUUCAACAACGAUGAUAUAUUUAAGAGACCAACAUUUGUAUUCAUCAUUUUAUAAUCGAUAAAGAUUGUAGAAUUGCAAAAUAUUUAAAUUAUUAAUAAACAAACAUUAUUAUAAGAAUUCACUACGCAGAUGCGUACUGAUUAUCAUCUAGUGUAUAUAUAUAGUAGGUGAGAAAACGACAACAAAAGCUAUGAUAGUAUUGUACUAUAUUUAGUUAAAUAAUUCGUUUCUCAUUAUGGCAUUAUGUAUUUCUUUUCGAUUUAUUGCAUAUCAGACUUCAAUAAUCAACAUUAUCAUGAGGCAGUUUCAAGACUCCUAAGAGUGUCCAUCUAAGCACUUUGUGGGUCCCACCCAAAUAUUGGUUUGGUUUGGUCUUUUAAUUCAUGUCGUUUGGCUUGAUAAUUAAUUUUGUAUCGUAUAAGUUUGGUUCUCUGCGUUUGGUUUUAUGUUUAGGCCCUUGGGUUUAUGAAUUUGGUAUCAGCCCCAAAAAGGAAUGUAAUGUUAUGUAACCAAAUUCUGCGUUUUAUCUUUGAGUAGGUUAGGGUUUCUUUGUGAUCGUUCUUUCUACACUUCAACCUAGCCAUCUCCACUUACAUCAGUCUGCAAACACAAAGAUUUCUUACUCAACUCUUCACCUCUCCUAACGUUCAAUGUAUUCCUCUUAAUUUCUCACCAAUAAAUGUCCCAAUAACAAUGUGACCUCUCCGUUUCCUUCCUUAAGACCUAUAAAUUGGAGAAGAUUGAGAAUGUGAUGAAUCUUGUCAAUCAAUCACUUUCAGUUAAUCUUCUAUAUCAAGCAUACAAAGAUCCUCUGCUAACGCCUUCCUCCAAUGCUGUGAAGAGGCAGAUGAUUAACUAUAUGCUUCAGGACGAUGAAAAGCAUCAGAAGGCACAAACUUUUUAAAAACCCAACAAGAUUCUAUUAUUUACUCUUUAAUAUGUCUUAUUUUUUCUUUAUUUCUGAUUAUAUUUUGCGGUGGUGGCUCUGACUUGCCGCAAUUGACUCUUUGGUCACCAUUCACCUCCGGUUACAGCCCUCCUAUCGGCCCUUCCCGAGAACCAUCACCGCGGUGGAGACAAAACCUGUUAUGAUUCCUUUUCAAUAAAAAAAAGCUUUAGUCGAUGAGCAGAUCUGAUCUGUUCAAGCUAAUUUCCAGAAGAUCAAAAGGAGAAAGACAAGCAACGAAAUGAUGAUGGAUGGAUUACAAAGGAAUAAGCUACUGUUGGGGCUGGAUUUACAUUUUCUCUCAAAGUUCAUUAAGACAAUAAAUUAUACUCAUUUUGUUAGGAAACCCUAGACAUUUUUCUUCUAUAAAUAAAGAGCUACCUCCUUAUUAGAAAUGAUCUUCUCUUCUCCAUUUUGGACUUAGAACACUUCUUACAAAUGGUUUAUGGAUUCAUAGAUUUAACUUACACUAGAAACCAUUCUUGUAAUACAAUCUUUGAUCAAUAAACUCUUUUUGAUGUUCAUUCUCAUUUGAUUCUUUCAAAAUUUCUCCUAAACCUCAAGAAUCUAAUCAUUAUCUUUAGAUUUUUUAUUGUAUGAUUACAACAAACAUCAUCAGCACAAACACCAUUUUUGGAUCAAACAGUUGGCCCUAGAAGAAGGGGGACAAGGAGAACUAUCUUCAAAGCAUAUCGAACUUGGGAGAAUCCAGAUCU
Molecule: long non-coding RNA, 2443 nt
Organism: Brassica rapa (field mustard)
Lineage: Eukaryota; Viridiplantae; Streptophyta; Magnoliopsida; Brassicales; Brassicaceae
Source: RefSeq, a predicted model, not a curated record